UACGUAGGGUGCGAGCGUUGUCCGGAAUUAUUGGGCGUAAAGAGCUCGUAGGCGGCUUGUCGCGUCGGAUGUGAAAGCCCGGGGCUUAACUCCGGGUCUGCAUUCGAUACGGGCAGGCUAGAGUUCGGUAGGGGAGAUCGGAAUUCCUGGUGUAGCGGUGAAAUGCGCAGAUAUCAGGAGGAAUACCGAUGGCGAAGGCAGGUCUCUGGGCUGACACUGACGCUCAUGCACGAAAGCGUGGGGAGCAAACAGG
RNAcentral lists this ribosomal RNA (253 nucleotides) under uncultured bacterium. RNAcentral's name for it is "partial 16S ribosomal RNA". It matches the Rfam family "Bacterial small subunit ribosomal RNA", at positions 524 to 776 of the family's 1533-position model. The record is from RNAcentral.